This is a long non-coding RNA of Panicum virgatum (switchgrass), 1844 nucleotides long. RefSeq lists it as uncharacterized. The record is from RefSeq and is a predicted model, not a curated record. The transcript has 2 exons. NCBI's taxonomy places the organism in Eukaryota, Viridiplantae, Streptophyta, Magnoliopsida, Poales, Poaceae.
AGUAAUGCGUCUGUUAUUUUUUUUAUUGUACUCAAUGCACGAACAUUUAGAUCUUUGCAUGAUUUCGCAUCUGAUAUUAGUUUGAAAAGUCAUACUACUACUAUUUUCUUGUGUCAUCUUUCAUGUUCCAUGCUUCCUUUGGACAUGAUUUGAUUUGAACUUACCUCUAGAUGAGUUUGGCGCGGUUGAUUUUGAUUUUGUUCAAAACAUCAAUGGUAAGUAAAGUUAGCUCAGUUCUAAAAUUUUGGUACUACUAAAACAUGACUGCUAUUUGUUUCAACUCAUGUCCACCCUUGUAUUUGUUUCAACUCUUAUGUUACAUGAUACUAAUUAACGUUCUUUUGUACAACAUGCUGAUGAGCCUCCGGUUCAAGUGAACCAACGAAGGAAAGAAAUGACAGAAAACUUUAGAAAACAAGUUUAUCAAGCGUUGUUGGCUAGAAGCAACAACGGAAUACUCCACAAGUAAGAUACCCAAAUUGUUGCUGAUCAAUUUGAUCUCCACGUUCGGACAGUGCAGCGCAUAUGGCAGAGAGGUAAAAUACAAUUUGCAAGUUCUGUCCUGGUUGUGUUUUCUAGUCUAAAAAAGGGCAGAGUUGGUCGUAAGCCAAUUCCUAUUGAUUUGGAAGCUUUGCGUGAAAUUCCUCUAAAGGAUAGGAUGACCAUAGGAGAUGUUUGUGCCAAACUUAGGAUUAGCAAAUGAAGGGUGCAAAGGUAUUUGAGAAGAGGUUUGCUUAGGCGGCACUCUAGUAGUAUGAAGCACCAUCUCACUGAUGCUAAUAAGAAGACUAGGUUGCAGUGGUGUAUUGACAUGAUUGAGAGGGGGUUGAGUGGUGAUCCAAGGUUUAAGGAUUUUUUUUACUUUGUCUUCAUUGAUGAAAAAUGGUUUUACCUCACCCAAAAAUCUGAAAAGUAUUACUUGCUCCCCGAAGAAGACGAUCCACAUAGGACUUGUAAGAACAAAAACUAUACCCCUAGGCUCAUGUUUUUGUGUGUUUGUGCUCAGCCGAGGUUUAGAGAUGGGGAGAGCAUUUAUUAUGGUAGAAUUGGAUGUUUUCCUCUUGUCACUUAUGAGCCGGCUCAAAGAAGUAAUGCGGUAACCGGCCGUGUCCGUGGAGAUAUGGUUAUGAAACCCAUUACAAGUAUCACAAGAGAUGUCAUUAGAGAAUUCAUGAUUAACCAAGUCUUGCCGGCUAUUAGAGCCAAGUGGCCAAGAGAAGAUGUGGGCAAUCCUAUUUUCAUUCAACAAGACAAUGUACCUUCACAUUUAAAGUUGGAUGAUCCAUUGUUUUGUGAGCAUGCAAAGCGAGAUGGUUUUCAUAUUCGGCUCAUUUCUCAACCACCAAAUUCUCCUGAUUUCAACAUUUUGGACUUGGGUUUUUUUCGAGCAAUUCAAGCAAUUCAAUACCAAGAGCAUGCAAAACUAUUCAAGACCUAGUUCCAGCCGUGCAACAGGCAUUCAUGAGUAUUGUCCACGUAAAGCAAGCCGCAUCUUCGGGACAGUAAAAACUGUUUUAAUCGAAACAAUGAAGAUGAAAGGCAACAACUUUAAGAUCCCUCACAUGAAAAAGGAGACAUUAGAAAGACAAGGCCGCCUGCCAACUUCUAUCCCGUGCCCACCAUCCUUGCUAGAUGAAGCCUAGACUACACUUGCUGCAUUGUAGAGGGAAAAAGCUAGUUAGAUAUUGGAAGGUUUCUGUAAUUUCUUUUUUUACCAUGUUGCAGCAUGAACACAAUUAGAAUGUUUGUGCUUGUUAUCUUAUCGUUGUUGUGUCGUCAUCCUUCCCGGCAGCGAGCUCACGUUGUUGCUUCACGUCGAGCAUCUUGAGCACAUGUGGAUCAAA